RNAcentral lists this unclassified non-coding RNA (374 nucleotides) under soil metagenome. Its description in RNAcentral is "partial contains internal transcribed spacer 2 and large subunit ribosomal RNA". The stretch from base 1 to 120 matches the Rfam family "5.8S ribosomal RNA", at positions 35 to 154 of the family's 154-position model. The record is from RNAcentral.
GAUGAAGAACGUAGCGAAAUGCGAUAAUUAAUGUGAAUUGCAGAAUUCCGUGAAUCAUCGAGUCUUUGAACGCACAUUGCGCCUCAUGGCAUUCCGUGAGGCAUGCCCAUCUCAGCGUUAGAAAAUAUUCUCAAAUUUUAGUUUUGUGCUAAAAUUUGGAUCAUGUCAAAGAAGCUAUUACUAUUAUUGUGAUCGCUCUUUGGAAAUUGAUAGGUCUUUGAGUUGCUACUCAUAGAACGUGAUGAAUCUCUCUUCGUUCUAUUGUAAUUCACUCUGGUAGUCCUAAAACUUGUAUGCCUGUAGUAUAUCUUGUAAUUUGACCUGAGAUUGGGUAGGGAUACCCGCUGAACUUAAGCAUAUCAAUAAGCGGAGGA